This 74-nucleotide transfer RNA is filed under the name Fidelibacterota bacterium. Its description in RNAcentral is "tRNA-His". It matches the Rfam family "tRNA". Rfam says of the family: Transfer RNA (tRNA) molecules are approximately 80 nucleotides in length. Their secondary structure includes four short double-helical elements and three loops (D, anti-codon, and T loops). Lineage: Bacteria; Pseudomonadati; Fidelibacterota. The record is from RNAcentral.
GGGGUUGGUUUUUUAUAGGCAAAAAGCCUGACUGUGGCUCAGGAGGUCGUGGAUUCGAAACCCAUCAGCCACCC